UACUUUUAGGUGUAAGAUGCACACUAAUUUUUGAUAUUAGGGGUUAAUAGUUUAAUUCUAUUAAUUGUAA
This 70-nucleotide transfer RNA is filed under the name Physemacris variolosa. Its description in RNAcentral is "tRNA-Gln". Lineage: Eukaryota; Metazoa; Arthropoda; Insecta; Orthoptera; Pneumoridae. The record is from RNAcentral.